RNAcentral lists this ribosomal RNA (301 nucleotides) under uncultured bacterium. RNAcentral describes it as "partial 16S ribosomal RNA". It matches the Rfam family "Bacterial small subunit ribosomal RNA", at positions 509 to 807 of the family's 1533-position model. The record is from RNAcentral.
CAGCAGCCACGGGAAUACGUAGGGUGCGAGCGUUAAUCGGAAUUACUGGGCGUAAAGCGUGCGCAGGCGGUUUUGUAAGACAGGCGUGAAAUCCCCGGGCUCAACCUGGGAAUGGCGCUUGUGACUGCAAAGCUAGAGUGCGGCAGAGGGGGAUGGAAUUCCGCGUGUAGCAGUGAAAUGCGUAGAUAUGCGGAGGAACACCGAUGGCGAAGGCAAUCCCCUGGGCCUGCACUGACGCUCAUGCACGAAAGCGUGGGGAGCAAACAGGAUUAGAUACCCGGGUAGUCCCUGUCUCUUAUAC